UGGGGAAUAUUGCACAAUGGGCGCAAGCCUGAUGCAGCCAUGCCGCGUGUAUGAAUAAGGCCUUCGGGUUGUAAAGUACUUUCAGUCGGGAGGAAGGUGGUAAGGUUAAUAACCUUAUCAAUUGACGUUACCGACAGAAGAAGCACCGGCUAACUCCGUGCCAGCAGCCGCGGUAAUACGGAGGGUGCAAGCGUUAAUCGGAAUUACUGGGCAUAAAGCGCACGCAGGCGGUUGAUUGAGUCAGAUGUGAAAUCCCCGGGCUUAACCCGGGCAUUGCAUCUGAUACUGGUCAGCUAGAGUCUUGUAGAGGCGGGUAGCAUUCCAUGUGUAGCGGUGAAAUGCGUAGAGAUGUGGAAGAAUACCGGUGGCGAAGGCGGCCCCCUGGACAAAGACUGACGCUCAGGUGCGAAAGCGUGGGGAGCAAACAGG
RNAcentral lists this ribosomal RNA (429 nucleotides) under Chloroflexota bacterium. RNAcentral's name for it is "Chloroflexi bacterium partial 16S ribosomal RNA". It matches the Rfam family "Bacterial small subunit ribosomal RNA", at positions 355 to 776 of the family's 1533-position model. The record is from RNAcentral. Lineage: Bacteria; Bacillati; Chloroflexota.